Molecule: ribosomal RNA, 1503 nt
Filed under: Triticum aestivum (bread wheat)
Lineage: Eukaryota; Viridiplantae; Streptophyta; Magnoliopsida; Poales; Poaceae
Description: partial small subunit ribosomal RNA
Source: RNAcentral
AUGCCGCGGAUCACUUCGGUGGAGAGCCCCGGCUGCCCGCCGCUCCGCGCCAUCACCACCGACAUCCUCGGCCUCAUCAAAGUCGUCGAGGCCCGCACUAGACCGGCGGGCGUCGCCAAGGUCGUCGAGACGUGGGGCGAACCCGACGCCUCCAGGGCCAUCCUCGUCGCUUCACUCGCCGACCGAGCCGUCGACCCCGUUUUGGCUGUGGCAAGGAAGAACGGUGUGGUUGAGUUGCUGAAUCCCCUGAAUGGUGAUGCUCUGGCCGCUUUCAAGUUCUCUAGGACAGACCAAACUGUCGGAGCUGUGGAAAAUGAUCCCCUAGUCGCCCUGCACCUCUUCAGAAAACAUGCACCAGACUUAACCACGUUAGGUACAUUUCUUGCUUGUACGGAGAAGGGCAAAGCAAGUGUGAGAUCUGUUGCAAAAGAAAACACGGCAUCUGACUCGGAUGUUGGGCCAUCAAGCACUUGGGACGUGUGUAACAAGGGUACAUUGCAGUUUUCAUCUGUGGAUGCUGGUGAAAACUAUGCAAUGUUCGGAGGGAAUGGUAUGGAAGUAAACUUGUGGGAUAUCACAUCUUGUAGUAAGAUGUGGUCUGCUAAAUCUCCCCGAGCUAACAACGUUGGUAUAUUUACCAAACCUUGGUUCACUGCUGGAACUUUCCUGUGCAAGGAUGAUCACCGUAAAAUUGUAGCCGGCACAAAUAAUCAUCAGGUUCGCUUAUACGAUACUGCUUCGCAAAGAAGACCUGUUGUUUCAGUUGAUUUUAGGGAGUCACCAAUCAAGGCAGUUGCAGGGGAUCCAGAUGGACAUACUGUCUAUAUUGGGACAGGAACAGGAGACCUCGCUUCCUUUGACAUGAGAACAGGAAAACUACUCGGAUGCUAUGUUGGUAAAUGCAGUGGAAGUAUUAGAUCGAUAGUUAGGCAUCCGGAGCUGCCUUUGAUAGCAUCUUGCGGAUUGGACAGCUACUUGCGAAUCUGGGAUACAAAUACAAGGCAGCCGCUUUCUGCGGUCUAUCUCAAGCAGCACCUCAUGACAGUGGUUAUUGAUUCACAUUUCUCAGCUGAAGAAUCUGAGGAGACUAAAUCCAAGCAGCCAGAUUCUUCAAUGGUGGCUGAAGCUGCAGUCAGAAGGGAAAAAAAGAAAAAGAAGAAUGUAUUUGUUGAAGAGGAUGAAGAAGGAACUCAAAUGGUGGACCCUGAUGACUGUGAUGCUGAAGCAGUCAGAAAGGAAAAGAAGAAAAAGAAGAAGAAAACUGUUACAGAGGAUGAUGAAGAAACACAAAUGGUCGACCCGGAUGAAGGCGAUGCUGAAACAGUCAGAAAGGUAAAGAAGAAAAAGAAGAAUAGAAGGGUUGCAGAGGAUGAGGAAGGAACUCAGAUGGCUGACCUUAAUGACAGUGAUGCUGAGAUGUAUGCCCCAAAGAGAAUAAAAUCUGAAUCUGGCGAAAGAAGCAAAGGCACGAAAAAGAAAAGCAAGAAGCAACAAGUUGCCUAG